GAUGAACGCUGGCGGCGUGCCUAAUACAUGCAAGUCGAGCGAACAGACGAGGAGCUUGCUGCUCUGACGUUAGGGGAGGGCGGGAGAGAAACACGUGGAUAACCUACCUAUAAGACUGGGAUAACUUCGGGACACCGGAGAUAAUACCGGAUAAUAUAUUGAACCGCAGGGUGCAAUAGUGAAAGUCGGUGUUGCUGGCACGACUCGAUGGAUCCGAGCCGGAUUGGCUAGUUGGUAAGGUAACGGCUUACCAAGGCAACGAUGCGUAGCCGACCUGAGGGGCUGAUCGGCCACACGGGAACUUAGACACGGUCCUUGCUCCUACGGGAGGCAGCAGUAGGGAAUCUUCCGCAAUGGGCGAAAGCCUGACGGAGCAACGCCGCGUGAGUGAUGAAGGUCUUCGGAUCGUAAAACUCUGUUAUUAGGGAAGAACAAAUGUGUAAGUAACUAUGCACGUCUUGACGGUACCUAGUCAGAAAGCCACGGCUAACUACGUG
RNAcentral lists this ribosomal RNA (497 nucleotides) under uncultured bacterium. RNAcentral's name for it is "partial 16S ribosomal RNA". It matches the Rfam family "Bacterial small subunit ribosomal RNA", at positions 28 to 507 of the family's 1533-position model. The record is from RNAcentral.